CCUACGGGUGGCAGCAGUGAGGAAUAUUGGUCAAUGGACGAGAGUCUGAACCAGCCAAGUCGCGUGAAGGAUGACUGCCCUAUGGGUUGUAAACUUCUUUUAUAAAGGAAUAAAACGAGGCACGUGUGCCUUUUUGUAUGUACUUUAUGAAUAAGGAUCGGCUAACUCCGUGCCAGCAGCCGCGGUAAUACGGAGGAUCCGAGCGUUAUCCGGAUUUAUUGGGUUUAAAGGGAGCGUAGAUGGGUUGUUAAGUCAGUUGUGAAAGUUUGCGGCUCAACCGUAAAAUUGCAAUUGAUACUGGCAGUCUUGAGUACAGUUGAGGUAGGCGGAAUUCGUGGUGUAGCGGUGAAAUGCUUAGAUAUCACGAAGAACCCCGAUUGCGAAGGCAGCUUACUAAACUGUGACUGACAUUGAUGCGCGAAAGUGUGGGUAUCAAACAGGAUUAGAUACCCCAGUAGUC
RNAcentral lists this ribosomal RNA (460 nucleotides) under uncultured bacterium. Its description in RNAcentral is "partial 16S ribosomal RNA". It matches the Rfam family "Bacterial small subunit ribosomal RNA", at positions 338 to 795 of the family's 1533-position model. The record is from RNAcentral.